UGUUUUGUGUGAAAAACUACAAGCAAACAUUUCCAUCAUGCAGCAAGACCAUGCCAUUGUAACUGCAAGAGAAGUGAAGGACUCUGCUGGUGGUUCUGCUUCCUUGACUGUAUCUUGCAGUGAAGAUUCUCAGAGAAGGGUUGAUGGUGCUGUUACAUUUGCCAGGUUUGCUGAGAAGCAUCGCCGGCUAUUGAAUACUUUUAUAAGACAGAAUCCUGGCUUGUUAGAGAAAUCACUUUCUAUGAUGUUGAAAGCACCAAGACUGAUAGAUUUUGACAACAAAAGGGCAUAUUUCCGAUCAAGAAUAAGGCAACAGCAUGAACAACAACUCUCUGGUCCUUUGCGGAUAAGCGUCCGGCGGGCG
Molecule: unclassified non-coding RNA, 364 nt
Filed under: Hevea brasiliensis (rubber tree)
Lineage: Eukaryota; Viridiplantae; Streptophyta; Magnoliopsida; Malpighiales; Euphorbiaceae
Source: RNAcentral